RNAcentral lists this ribosomal RNA (402 nucleotides) under uncultured bacterium. RNAcentral's name for it is "bacterial SSU rRNA". It matches the Rfam family "Bacterial small subunit ribosomal RNA", at positions 91 to 507 of the family's 1533-position model. The record is from RNAcentral.
AUUAGUGGCGAACGGGUGAGUAACACGUGGGCAACCUGCCCCAGACACCGGGAUAACCUCUCGAAAGAGUGGCUAAUACCGGAUAUGACCACUUCGGGCAUCCGACGGUGGUGGAAAGGAUUCUGGUCUGGGAUGGGCCCGCGGCCUAUCAGCUAGUUGGUGGGGUAAUGGCCUACCAAGGCGACGACGGGUAGCCGGCCUGAGAGGGCGACCGGCCACACUGGGACUGAGACACGGCCCAGACUCCUACGGGAGGCAGCAGUGGGGAAUAUUGCGCAAUGGGCGAAAGCCUGACGCAGCGACGCCGCGUGAGGGACGAAGGUCUUCGGAUUGUAAACCUCUUUCAGCAGGGACGAAGCGAAAGUGACUGUACCUGCAGAAGAAGCACCGGCUAACUACGUG